CAGCCGCCACGGGAAUACGUAGGGUGCGAGCGUUAAUCGGAAUUACUGGGCGUAAAGCGUGCGCAGGCGGUUCGUUAAGACAGAUGUGAAAUCCCCGGGCUCAACCUGGGAACUGCAUUCGAAACUGGCAGGCUAGAGUCUUGUAGAGGGGGGUAGAAUUCCAGGUGUAGCGGUGAAAUGCGUAGAGAUCUGGAGGAAUACCGGUGGCGAAGGCGGCCCCCUGGACAAAGACUGACGCUCAGGUGCGAAAGCGUGGGGAGCAAACAGGAUUAGAUACCCGAGUAGUCCCUGUCUCUUAUAC
RNAcentral lists this ribosomal RNA (301 nucleotides) under uncultured bacterium. RNAcentral's name for it is "partial 16S ribosomal RNA". It matches the Rfam family "Bacterial small subunit ribosomal RNA", at positions 509 to 807 of the family's 1533-position model. The record is from RNAcentral.